RNAcentral lists this ribosomal RNA (253 nucleotides) under uncultured bacterium. Its description in RNAcentral is "partial 16S ribosomal RNA". It matches the Rfam family "Bacterial small subunit ribosomal RNA", at positions 524 to 776 of the family's 1533-position model. The record is from RNAcentral.
UACGUAGGGUGCGAGCGUUAAUCGGAAUUACUGGGCGUAAAGCGUGCGCAGGCGGCUUUGCAAGACAGAUGUGAAAUCCCCGGGCUCAACCUGGGAACUGCAUUUGUGACUGUAAGGCUAGAGUACGGCAGAGGGGGAUGGAAUUCCGCGUGUAGCAGUGAAAUGCGUAGAUAUGCGGAGGAACACCAAUGGCGAAGGCAAUCCCCUGGGCCUGUACUGACGCUCAUGCACGAAAGCGUGGGGAGCAAACAGG